RNAcentral lists this long non-coding RNA (358 nucleotides) under Dasypus novemcinctus (nine-banded armadillo). RNAcentral's name for it is "lncRNA (ENSDNOG00000052035.1)". The record is from RNAcentral. Lineage: Eukaryota; Metazoa; Chordata; Mammalia; Cingulata; Dasypodidae.
CGGGGCACUGGGGAUACAGCGGGGAAGAAAGCAGCCAGAGUUCGAGUUCUCGGCCUCCAGCGGAGCGGAAGGACAGGCCGUCGUCCAUCACACAGCAAGAGUGGUUUUCCAGCUGCAGUGAGGGCAAUGGCGGAAAAGCACAGGCAAGAAGGCAACCACGGCCCAAUUCGUACACGCAGAUUGUAGAAGGAUUCAAUUGAGUUCUCCAGGGGAGGGAAACUGAGUCUGAGAGAGAAGAGGGUCGACCCCACUCACGAGGUAAGAUCUAGAAAGGCUGUCAGGCAAUACACAGGGCUCCCAGGGAAAUGCAUUUUCACAUGAACAACAAAUAAUGUUUUAGAAUAAGCGUGGUAGGCAG